This 67-nucleotide transfer RNA is filed under the name Mecynorhina polyphemus. RNAcentral describes it as "tRNA-Ser". Lineage: Eukaryota; Metazoa; Arthropoda; Insecta; Coleoptera; Scarabaeidae. The record is from RNAcentral.
GAAAUAAGAAACCCAAGAAUAAGCUUCUAACUUAAGUCUUUAGCAGUGAAAUUCUGUUAGUAUUUCU